ACCGGACGAGACACUUCAUAGUACAACGAAUCUGGACAGUAAGCCUGUCCAGAUUCGUUGUACUAUGAAGUGUCAUAUCCGGU
MicroRNA precursor from Oryza sativa Japonica Group (Japanese rice), 83 nucleotides. It matches the Rfam family "MIR814 microRNA precursor family". Lineage: Eukaryota; Viridiplantae; Streptophyta; Magnoliopsida; Poales; Poaceae. The record is from Rfam.